This 732-nucleotide long non-coding RNA is filed under the name Homo sapiens (human). Its description in RNAcentral is "ZNF385D antisense RNA 1 (ZNF385D-AS1)". Lineage: Eukaryota; Metazoa; Chordata; Mammalia; Primates; Hominidae. The record is from RNAcentral.
GGGAACUCUGACCUUGCGGAGGAAACUUGUUUCCCUUUUUUUCUUCCCGCCGACUUUCACUCGAUAAAACCCUGCUUUAUUCACCCUUUAAACCUUCUCCAAACCUAAAUUUUCCUGGCCUUGGGACGGACAAGAACCCAGUCUUCAGAUGAAGGAAGGAAAAGUCCUGCAACAUUCUUGGCGUGCAACGUUGGGGCUCUUGAAGAGCUCCAGAAUUGGGAUUCUAUUUUCAAGGAAUGUCCUAGACAACAUGGCAUUAUUAAUUGAAAAGGAAAUAUAUUCCAGAAAUCUAUUCUGUUACCAGCUGUAUCAGAAUUCCACAGUGCAUCUGGUUCUUGGGCAAGUCACUGAAACGUGGGUCAAAUGUUGAAAGCUACUGUACUGUGAUGUGAAAAUAAAGGACAGUUAUAACAAAAUACUGCAAACUCAGUGGCUGAAAACAUCAGAAAUUUAUCAUCUCACAUGUCUGGAAGCUAGAAAUUUGAAAUCCAGGUGCUGUCAAAUCCAUGCUUCCUCUGAAACCUGUAGGGGAACAUCCUUCCUUGCCAGCCGUCUCUGGUGCCCUUUGUCUCAUAGGUACAUCAUUCCAAUCCUCCCCUUUUGCAUUGUAUUCUCCCUGUGUCUCUCUGUCUCGGUGCCCAAAUUUCUCCUUUUAUAAGGCUACCAAUCAUAUCGAAUUACCCUAAUGACCUCAUUUUAACUUGAGUACCUCUGUAAAGGCUCUGUUACCAA